CACGGCUCAGUAACAUGUGGCUAACCUGCCCUUAGGACAGAGACAACCCCGGGAAACUGGGGCUAAUCUCUGAUAGGUGUGGAAUUCUGGAAUGAAUCGACACCCAAAAGACGCCUGAAUCAUGCUUUAAACAUCGCCUAAGGAUGGGGCCGCAGCCGAUCAGGUUGUUGGUGAGGUAACGGCUCACCAAGCCUAUAACCGGUACGGGCCGCGGGAGCGGUAGCCCGGAAAUGGACACUGAGAUAAGGGUCCAGGCCCUACGGGGCGCAGCAGUCGCGAAAACUCCACAAUGCGCGAAAGCGCGAUGGGGCUAUCCCGAGUGCCGUCCGCUGAGGAUGGCUUUUCUCCAGUGUAAGGAGCUGGGGGAAUAAGGAGAGGGCAAGACUGGUGUCAGCCGCCGCGGUAAUACCAGCUCUCCGAGUGGUAGGGAUGUUUAUUGGGCCUAAAGCGUCCGUAGCCGGCUCAUCAAGUCCUCCGUUAAAUCCAGCGAUUCAAUCGUUGGGCUGCGGGGGAUACUGUUGGGCUAGGGGACAGGAGAGGCCCACCGUAUUCCCGGAGUAGGGGUGAAAUCCUAUAAUUCCGGGAGGACCAC
This 592-nucleotide ribosomal RNA is filed under the name uncultured archaeon. Its description in RNAcentral is "bacterial SSU rRNA". It matches the Rfam family "Archaeal small subunit ribosomal RNA", at positions 83 to 660 of the family's 1478-position model. The record is from RNAcentral.